This 460-nucleotide ribosomal RNA is filed under the name uncultured bacterium. RNAcentral's name for it is "partial 16S ribosomal RNA". It matches the Rfam family "Bacterial small subunit ribosomal RNA", at positions 338 to 795 of the family's 1533-position model. The record is from RNAcentral.
UCUACGGGAGGCAGCAGUGAGGAAUAUUGGUCAAUGGGCGAGAGCCUGAACCAGCCAAGUCGCGUGAAGGAUGACGGCCCUACGGGUUGUAAACUUCUUUUGUCAGGGCGCAAUUGGGUCCACGCGUGGGCUUAGCGAGAGUACCUGAAGACAAAGCAGCGGCUAACUCCGUGCCAGCAACCGCGGUAAUACGGAGGAUGCGAGCGUUAUCCGGAUUUAGUGGGUGUAAAGGGUGCGUAGGCGGAAUAUUAAGUACGCGUGAACAAUUCGGGGCAAAUCCCCGUCGUGCCGUAGAAACUGAUGUUCUUGAGUGGGCGAGAAGUAUGCGGAAUGCGUGGUGUAGCGGUGAAAUGCAUAGAUAUCACGCAGAACUCCGAUUGCGAAGGCAGCAUACCGGCGCCCAACUGACGCUGAAGCACGAAAGCGUGGGUAUCGAACAGGAUUAGAUACCCCUGUAGUC